RNAcentral lists this ribosomal RNA (129 nucleotides) under Saprospira grandis. RNAcentral's name for it is "partial 16S ribosomal RNA". It matches the Rfam family "Bacterial small subunit ribosomal RNA", at positions 1399 to 1533 of the family's 1533-position model. Lineage: Bacteria; Pseudomonadati; Bacteroidota; Saprospiria; Saprospirales; Saprospiraceae. The record is from RNAcentral.
AAGCCAUGGGAGUCAGGGGUGCCUGAAGAUGGUGACCUUAAGAGGAGCUAUCUAGGGUAAACCUGGUGACUAGGGCUAAGUCGUAACAAGGUAGCCGUACCGGAAGGUGCGGCUGGAAUACCUCCUUUA